RNAcentral lists this ribosomal RNA (449 nucleotides) under uncultured bacterium. RNAcentral describes it as "partial 16S ribosomal RNA". It matches the Rfam family "Bacterial small subunit ribosomal RNA", at positions 29 to 523 of the family's 1533-position model. The record is from RNAcentral.
AGCGAACGCUGGCGGCAGGCCUAACACAUGCAAGUCGAGCGCCGUAGCAAUACGGAGCGGCAGACGGGAUAGUAACACGUGGGAACGUGCCCUUUGGUUCGGAAUAACUCAGGGAAACUUGAGCUAAUACCGGAUAAGCCCUUCGGGGGAAAGAUUUAUUGCCAUUGGAGCGGCCCGCGUCGGAUUAGCUAGUUGGUGAGGUAAUGGCUCACCAAGGCGACGAUCCGUAGCUGGUCUGAGAGGAUGACCAGCAUCACUGGGACUGAGACACGGCCCAGACUCCUACGGGAGGCAGCAGUGGGGAAUAUUGGACAAUGGGCGCAAGCCUGAUCCAGCCAUGCCGCGUGGAUGAUGAAGGCCCUAGGGUUGUAAAGUCCUUUUAACGGGGAAGAUAAUGACGGUACCCGUAGAAUAAGCCCCGGCUAACUUCGUGCCAGCAGCCGCAGUAA